Long non-coding RNA from Rhagoletis zephyria (snowberry fruit fly), 567 nucleotides. RefSeq lists it as uncharacterized. The record is from RefSeq and is a predicted model, not a curated record. NCBI's taxonomy places the organism in Eukaryota, Metazoa, Arthropoda, Insecta, Diptera, Tephritidae.
UCAAAAAGUGAAUUUUGAACUUUUUAUAAGUUACGACUUUUCGCAUUUCAGAGACGAUAUAUGAAUCUUGUCGAAAUGACUGUUGACUCAGUUGAACAAAAGCCCUGCAAUUCCUACACCUUUUACUUCCUAUGGCGCCCAUUUGGCGCUUUCCAUAUAUAUAAAAUUAAAACGCAAGUUCUUACAAUGUACGUAUGUAAGUAAUAGUUCUUUAUUCUGUUACAAUUUUUAAUUUAUUCAGUUACCCUUUUAUUUCCUUAUAUCUAAAGCGCUAACAUUCACAUAAACUCACUUUUAUUUAUUUAUUUUCUUUGGUUUAUUUGUUUCAGUAAUUUAUUGUAAGUUUUGUUACUUUCGUUUAUAACAUUUAACUAAGAUUUAUAACACAUUUUUUCGCUAAUAACAAUUUUUUAAUUUUCAAAAGGAUUUCGUUUCAUUAACUAAUUCCUUGCUUCAUUGUAUCGAAACACUAGUGAUUUUGCUCUGUUUCUCUUGAUGUUUCGAUCUAAAUUUAGAUUGGUGAUGCCUUGUUUAGCAUCCGUUUGAAAUUUGUGUUUGCAAAAAAAA